Molecule: unclassified non-coding RNA, 20 nt
Filed under: Chlamydomonas reinhardtii
Lineage: Eukaryota; Viridiplantae; Chlorophyta; Chlorophyceae; Chlamydomonadales; Chlamydomonadaceae
Description: small RNA Cre_3506
Source: RNAcentral
UGGUUUGUGUGACACUGCGG